Molecule: ribosomal RNA, 499 nt
Filed under: uncultured Glomeromycotina
Lineage: Eukaryota; Fungi; Glomeromycota
Description: partial small subunit ribosomal RNA
Rfam family: Eukaryotic small subunit ribosomal RNA
Source: RNAcentral
CCAAUAGCGUAUAUUAAAGUUGUUGCAGUUAAAAAGCUCGUAGUUGAAUUUCGGGAUCAAUACGUCGGUCGUGCCUUGGUACGUACUAACGUUAUUGAUUUCUACCUUCUGACGAACCGUGAUGUCAUUAAUUUGGUGUUACGGGAAGUCAGGACUGUUACUUUGACAAAAUUAGAGUGUUUAAAGCAAGCAAUCGCUCGCAUACAUUAGCAUGGAAUAAUGAAAUAGGACGUUCGAACCUAUUUUGUUGGUUUCUAGGAUCGACGUAAUGAUUAAUAGGGAUAGUUGGGGGCAUUAGUAUUCAAUUGUCAGAGGUGAAAUUCUUGGAUUUAUUGAAGACUAACUACUGCGAAAGCAUUUGCCAAGGAUGUUUUCAUUAAUCAAGAACGAAAGUUAGGGGAUCGAAGACGAUCAGAUACCGUCGUAGUCUUAACCAUAAACUAUGCCGACUAGGGAUCGGAUGAUGUUAAUUUUUUAAUGACUCAUUCGGCGCCUUACG